Molecule: long non-coding RNA, 513 nt
Organism: Lepidothrix coronata (blue-crowned manakin)
Lineage: Eukaryota; Metazoa; Chordata; Aves; Passeriformes; Pipridae
Exons: 3
Source: RefSeq, a predicted model, not a curated record
UUAUAUUGAUGUCUAAAUAUCAGAUAAACCAUUUGACUCCUCAACAGUGCGUGCCUUGCUCCAGGAAUCCAAAAAAUUACUCCAUGCUUUCAGCUCGAGGUCGGACUACAACGGUGUCCUGCCCCGGGCUUACACUGCACUGACCAAACUGUGGGAGAGGCUGGCAGAGGUGAGGGCAGACAGUGAGCAGCAUUUAUCAGAAGACAUCAUGGUUCUUUCAGAAAAUGCUGAAAAAAUGGAAGCCACGACACCCAAUCUGCCAAACCCUGAAGAAAAAGAGUUACAUCCAAGCUUUCAUGUGGCUCAGGAAAGCAGGCACCAGGAAAUCUGGUCGGUCCUUGAGGGUGUUUGGAACACAAUGAACCUGUACAGUAUUGAAAUAUUCCAGAAGUUGGACCCCAGUGCAGUGACUAUGGCUGCAAAGUCUUCGUUUGAGGAAGCUUUUUUAGGCCUGCAGAAGCUGUUGGCAGCUGUGAAGGAUAUCCAGGAAGGAAUUAGUAGGUGAGCAUUCCA